Molecule: ribosomal RNA, 547 nt
Filed under: uncultured bacterium
Lineage: Bacteria
Description: bacterial SSU rRNA
Rfam family: Bacterial small subunit ribosomal RNA
Source: RNAcentral
UGGGGAAUAUUGCGCAAUGGGGGGAACCCUGACGCAGCCAUGCCGCGUGAAUGAAGAAGGCCUUCGGGUUGUAAAGUUCUUUCGGCAUUGAGGAAGGUUGAUGUGUUAAUAGCACAUCAAAUUGACGUUAAAUACAGAAGAAGCACCGGCUAACUCCGUGCCAGCAGCCGCGGUAAUACGGAGGGUGCGAGCGUUAAUCGGAAUAACUGGGCGUAAAGGGUACGCAGGCGGUUAUUUAAGUGAGGCGUGAAAGCCCCGGGCUUAACCUGGGAAUUGCAUUUCAGACUGGGUAACUAGAGUACUUUAGGGAGGGGUAGAAUUCCACGUGUAGCGGUGAAAUGCGUAGAGAUGUGGAGGAAUACCGAAGGCGAAGGCAGCCCCUUGGGAAUGUACUGACGCUCAUGUGCGAAAGCGUGGGGAGCAAACAGGAUUAGAUACCCUGGUAGUCCACGCUGUAAACGCUGUCGAUUUGGGGGUUGGGGUUUAACUCUGGCGCCCGUAGCUAACGUGAUAAAUCGACCGCCUGGGGAGUACGGCCGCAAGGUUA